RNAcentral lists this non-coding RNA (27 nucleotides) under Homo sapiens (human). The record is from RNAcentral. Lineage: Eukaryota; Metazoa; Chordata; Mammalia; Primates; Hominidae.
UGGCCACUUUUCUAUAGGGCUGCUGUG